ACAUGCGAUCACAACAACGAAUAAAUAAAUUUGCAUCCUAGUUUCCACUAAAAUAAUCACUAUAACAUACAUCUUGUGCAGGUAUGGAACAGAUCAUAUUGAAUCAUGAUUUCUUCACCAGGAACAGAUGGGUUAAUCAAAGAACAAGAAGGGAGACGGUAAAGAAAAUUUUGCGAAAGAGGCAACUGUAAGGCCCCACAUGAUUAGUACUCUAUACAUAACAAAAAGAAAUUUCAUACUACAAAAAGUACUUCAUCCGAUCA
This 263-nucleotide unclassified non-coding RNA is filed under the name Hevea brasiliensis (rubber tree). Lineage: Eukaryota; Viridiplantae; Streptophyta; Magnoliopsida; Malpighiales; Euphorbiaceae. The record is from RNAcentral.